This 474-nucleotide ribosomal RNA is filed under the name uncultured bacterium. RNAcentral describes it as "bacterial SSU rRNA". It matches the Rfam family "Bacterial small subunit ribosomal RNA", at positions 335 to 801 of the family's 1533-position model. The record is from RNAcentral.
ACUCCUACGGGAGGCAGCAGUAGGGAAUCUUCCACAAUGGGCGCAAGCCUGAUGGAGCAACACCGCGUGAGUGAAGAAGGGUUUCGGCUCGUAAAGCUCUGUUGUUAAAGAAGAACACGUAUGAGAGUAACUGUUCAUACGUUGACGGUAUUUAGCCAGAAAGUCACGGCUAACUACGUGCCAGCAGCCGCGGUAAUACGUAGGUGGCAAGCGUUAUCCGGAUUUAUUGGGGCGUAAAGAGAGUGCAGGCGGUUUUCUAAGUCUGAUGUGAAAGCCUUCGGCUUAACCGGAGAAGUGCAUCGGAAACUGGAUAACUUGAGUGCAGAAGAGGGUAGUGGAACUCCAUGUGUAGCGGUGGAAUGCGUAGAUAUAUGGAAGAACACCAGUGGCGAAGGCGGCUACCUGGUCUGCAACUGACGCUGAGACUCGAAAGCAUGGGUAGCGAACAGGAUUAGAUACCCUGGUAGGAUAGCG